UGAAUACGAGAUGCUACGGCGUCGAAGCAGUGUAUGUCAGACUUCCAAGAAAAGCUCGCAAUGUCAUAAAUAAAGAAUGCCUGUACCAUAACCGACACAGGUGGGUAGGUAGAGUAUACUAAGGGGCGCGAGAUAACUCUCUCUAAGGAACUCGGCAAAAUAACUCCGUAACUUCGGGAGAAGGAGUGCCUUCUUGAAGAAGGUUGCAAUAACAAGAUCCAAGCAACUGUUUAUCAAAAACACAGGUCUCCGCUAAGUCGAAAGACGAUGUAUGGGGGCUGACGCCUGCCCAGUGCCAGAAGGUUAAAGAAGCUGGUUAGCAAUAGCGAAGCUGGUGACUGAAGCCCUGGUGAACGGCGGCCGUAACGAUAACGGUCCUAAGGUAGCGAAAUUCCUUGUCGGGUAAGUUCCGACCCGCACGAAAGGCGUAAUGAUUUGGAUACUGUCUCGGAGAGGGACUCGGUGAAAUAGACUUGUCUGUGAAGAUGCGGACUACCUGCACCAGGACAGAAAGACCCUAUGAAGCUUUACUGUAACUUGAAAUUGAAAUUGGACUUUAUUUGCGCAGUAUAGGUGGAAGGCGUUGAGAUUACUCUUGCGGGAUUAGUGGAGCCAUCAGUGAGAUACCACUCCUAUAAUGUUAGAUUUCUAACUUUGGAUCAUAAUCUGGUCAAAGAACAGUUUCAGGCGGGCAGUUUGACUGGGGCGGUCGCCUCCCAAAUGGUAACGGAGGCGUACAAAGGUUUCCUCUGAACGGGUAGAAAUCGUAUCUAGAGUGUAAAGGCAUAAGGAAGCUUGACUGUGAGACCUACAAGUCGAGCAGGGACGAAAGUCGGUCUUAGUGAUCUGACGGUGCUGAGUGGAAAGGCCGUCACUCAACGGAUAAAAGUUACUCUAGGGAUAACAGGCUGAUCUCCCCCAAGAGUUCACAUCGACGGGGAGGUUUGGCACCUCGAUGUCGGCUCAUCGCAUCCUGGGGCGGUAGUACGUCCCAAGGGUUGGGCUGUUCGCCCAUGAAAGCGGUACGCGAGCUGGGUUCAGAACGUCGUGAGACAGUUCGGUUCAUAUCCGGUGUAGGCGUUAGAAUAUUGAGAGGAGCCUUCUUUAGUACGAGAGGACCGAGAAGGACAUACCUCUGGUGUACCAGUUAUCGUGCCAACGGUAAACGCUGGGUAGCUAUGUAUGGAGAGGAUAACCGCUGAAAGCAUCUAAGUGGGAAGCCCACCUCAAGAUGAGUAUUCUCAUC
RNAcentral lists this ribosomal RNA (1246 nucleotides) under metagenome. Its description in RNAcentral is "bacterial LSU rRNA". It matches the Rfam family "Bacterial large subunit ribosomal RNA", at positions 1564 to 2818 of the family's 2925-position model. The record is from RNAcentral.